AGCCUCAAUCUACGUGCACCUGGGCCUCACUGCUCCUGACAUCCAGAGAAGGUGAAUGUGACCACACUUACCCACAGGUCAUGCUUCCAUCUUAAUAGGCUUAUUGCCAUGGAGAUAAUAAGAUCUGUAACAUGA
This is a small nucleolar RNA of Sorex araneus (European shrew), 135 nucleotides long. The record is from Ensembl. NCBI's taxonomy places the organism in Eukaryota, Metazoa, Chordata, Mammalia, Eulipotyphla, Soricidae.